Molecule: long non-coding RNA, 407 nt
Organism: Hippocampus zosterae (dwarf seahorse)
Lineage: Eukaryota; Metazoa; Chordata; Actinopteri; Syngnathiformes; Syngnathidae
Exons: 2
Source: RefSeq, a predicted model, not a curated record
CGUAGCUUGGCGUCCUUGUAACAAUCAUCUCCUGGAAUUGGAAUACUCUUGUAUUAUUAUUAGGUUUGAUGGUUAAGGUGUUAUUCCUCUCUGUUAGUUGUGUUUGUUCAGACACUUGAAAGAAACAAUGUAGAAUGCUGUUGAAGGUAUUUCCUGCUCACUGUGUUUACAAUCACCUUUAGUGCCCCUCGACCCCCACCACUUUUAGGGCCCCCCUCCACAGGACAUGUUUAACAUCAAAAGAGGAACUGUUAUCUCAAGUAUCUGUGUUCCUGCCAUCACACCAAAUGGUAGGUAGUGGUGGUCUGGUCUCACCUCACCGCUCCCAACUUCUUCCAGCCACACCGGGAGCCCGAAUCGAUUCGUAAACUGCAGAAAAUUAAAGUAAACCCUUAGAAGGAACUGUU